Erinaceus europaeus (western European hedgehog) is the source of this 75-nucleotide non-coding RNA. NCBI's taxonomy places the organism in Eukaryota, Metazoa, Chordata, Mammalia, Eulipotyphla, Erinaceidae. The record is from Rfam.
UCGCUGUGAUGACUUCAUUUGGUUUCGCUUGUUGCUGAGUUUCAGUGAUGCCUCUUCUCUUGGCUGUCUGAGCAG